RNAcentral lists this ribosomal RNA (497 nucleotides) under uncultured bacterium. Its description in RNAcentral is "partial 16S ribosomal RNA". It matches the Rfam family "Bacterial small subunit ribosomal RNA", at positions 28 to 507 of the family's 1533-position model. The record is from RNAcentral.
GAUGAACGCUGGCGGCGUGCCUAAUACAUGCAAGUCGAGCGAACGGACGAGAAGCUUGCUUCUCUGAUGUUAGCGGCGGACGGGGGAGUAACACGUGGAUAACCUACCUAUAAGACUGGGAUAACUUCUUGAAACCGGAGCUAAUACCGGAUAAUAUUUUGAACCGCAUGUUUCAAAAGUGAAAGACGGUCUUGCUGUCACUUAUAGAUGGAUCCGCGCUGCAUUAGCUAGUUGGUAAGGUAACGGCUUACCAAGGCAACGAUGCAUAGCCGACCUGAGAGGGUGAUCGGCAACACUGGAACUGAGACACGGUCCAGACUCCUACGGGAGGCAGCAGUAGGGAAUCUUCCGCAAUGGGCGAAAGCCUGACGGAGCAACGCCGCGUGAGUGAUGAAGGUCUUCGGAUCGUAAAACUCUGUUAUUAGGGAAGAACAUAUGUGUAAGUAACUGUGCACAUCUUGACGGUACCUACUCAGAAAGCCACGGCUAACUACGUG